AUGAAGUUAAAAAUAAUUAAAAGUUAUCUCUGUUCCCCCUGCUUAAAGCAACUGAUGCAUAACUAUCUCUGUCUAGCACAAUUCCAUAGCUAGGCAGAGACGCUUGGCCUCAAACAU
This 117-nucleotide small nucleolar RNA is filed under the name Myotis lucifugus (little brown bat). RNAcentral describes it as "Small nucleolar RNA SNORA63 (ENSMLUG00000019777.1)". The record is from RNAcentral. Lineage: Eukaryota; Metazoa; Chordata; Mammalia; Chiroptera; Vespertilionidae.